GACGAACGCUGGCGGCGUGCUUAACACAUGCAAGUCGAACGGAAAGGCCCUGCUUUUGUGGGGUGCUCGAGUGGCGAACGGGUGAGUAGCACGUGAGUAACCUGCCCUUGACUUUGGGAUAACUUCAGGAAACUGGGGCUAAUACCGGAUAGGAGCUCCUGCUGCAUGGUGGGGGUUGGAAAGUUUCGGCGGUUGGGGAUGGACUCGCGGCUUAUCAGCUUGUUGGUGGGGUAGUGGCUUACCAAGGCUUUGACGGGUAGCCGGCCUGAGAGGGUGACCGGCCACAUGGGGACUGAGAUACGGCCCAGACUCCUACGGGAGGCAGCAGUGGGGAAUAUUGCACAAUGGGCGGAAGCCUGAUGCAGCAACGCCGCGUGCGGGAUGACGGCCUUCGGGUGGUAAACCGCUUUCGCCUGUGACGAAGCGUGAGUGACGGUAAUGGGUAAAGAAGCACCGGCUAACUACGU
RNAcentral lists this ribosomal RNA (467 nucleotides) under uncultured bacterium. RNAcentral's name for it is "partial 16S ribosomal RNA". It matches the Rfam family "Bacterial small subunit ribosomal RNA", at positions 28 to 506 of the family's 1533-position model. The record is from RNAcentral.